AUUGAACGCUGGCGGAAUGCUUUACACAUGCAAGUCGAACGGUAGAGGGGGCAACCCCUCGAGAGUGGCGAACGGGUGAGUAAUAUAUCGGAACGUGCCCAGUCGUAGGGGAUAACGUAGCGAAAGUUACGCUAAUACCGCAUACGAUCUAAGGAUGAAAGCGGGGGAUCGCAAGACCUCGCGCGAUCGGAGCGGCCGAUAUCAGAUUAGGUAGUUGGUGGGGUAAAGGCUCACCAAGCCAACGAUCUGUAGCUGGUCUGAGAGGACGACCAGCCACACUGGAACUGAGACACGGUCCAGACUCCUACGGGAGGCAGCAGUGGGGAAUUUUGGACAAUGGACGCAAGUCUGAUCCAGCCAUUCCGCGUGCAGGAUGAAGGCCCUCGGGUUGUAAACUGCUUUUGUACGGAACGAAAAGGUCUCUCUUAAUACGGGGGACUCAUGACGGUACCGUAAGAGUAAGCACCGGCUAACUACGUGCCAGCAGCCGCCGUAA
RNAcentral lists this ribosomal RNA (496 nucleotides) under uncultured bacterium. Its description in RNAcentral is "partial 16S ribosomal RNA". It matches the Rfam family "Bacterial small subunit ribosomal RNA", at positions 30 to 523 of the family's 1533-position model. The record is from RNAcentral.